AAAAAAUCUAUGAAUAGGACUAGUAGUAAUUUAUGCUUUUAUUUAGAGAGUCAGUGGGUGGUGAAAACUGAUAAAGCAGAUUAUGAACUCACCUAGGAGAUGCAGCGGUGAAUUAACAGUAGUCGUUGCCGUUGACUGCGUUAAGGUUUCGAGGGCUCAGCCUUUUUUAGGCUUUGAACUAAGGUGGUAACGCGAUAUUGAAGUCGUCCUUAGA
This 214-nucleotide non-coding RNA is filed under the name Thomasclavelia spiroformis. RNAcentral's name for it is "Clostridium spiroforme T-box sequence". It matches the Rfam family "T-box leader". Rfam says of the family: Uncharged tRNA acts as the effector for transcription antitermination of genes in the T-box leader family. T-boxes are found upstream of many aminoacyl-tRNA synthetase genes and some amino acid biosynthetic genes usually in Gram-positive bacteria. The record is from RNAcentral. Lineage: Bacteria; Bacillati; Bacillota; Erysipelotrichia; Erysipelotrichales; Coprobacillaceae.